CACCGAAACCCGUUUUAUAGCUGUACCUGUCCGUGCUGAGCUGAGUGACGCUGCAGAGUCUUUAUCCAGCGCUUGGGUCAGCAGGCACAGCACCAAGGUCCAGCUGGCUCUGAUCCAGACCUGAGUGACUACCACGUGACCUCCGACCUCCAUGCCUUCACCACGGCCUACAGAUCCACCCUCAACCACAACAGGUCAGAGGACUAGAGUCCAUUCUUCUGGAGACAGUCCGUCUCUCCUGAAGGGCUUUUCCGCUCUCGGCGUGUCCGUCAUCGUCAGCUCACUCGUUCCCAUCAAACGCUCCCACACAGGAGAUGGCACAGCCGGACUUCUCACCCACCUCUGACCUCUACUCCUCCUUCAGUUAUUUCACCCCGUUCACCAUUUACUGUCUGCAGUUUGCUUCUCUAGUUUCAGCUCUGAAGCUAUGAGGCUAA
Long non-coding RNA from Colossoma macropomum (tambaqui), 437 nucleotides. RefSeq lists it as uncharacterized. NCBI's taxonomy places the organism in Eukaryota, Metazoa, Chordata, Actinopteri, Characiformes, Serrasalmidae. The transcript is spliced from 3 exons. The record is from RefSeq and is a predicted model, not a curated record.